Molecule: ribosomal RNA, 465 nt
Filed under: uncultured bacterium
Lineage: Bacteria
Description: partial 16S ribosomal RNA
Rfam family: Bacterial small subunit ribosomal RNA
Source: RNAcentral
GACGAACGCUGGCGGCGUGCUUAACACAUGCAAGUCGAACGGAAAGGCCCCUUUGGGGGUACUCGAGUGGCGAACGGGUGAGUAACACGUGAGUAACCUGCCCUUGACUUCGGGAUAACUUCAGGAAACUGGGGCUAAUACCGGAUAGGAAUCCUUGCUGCAUGGUGGGGGUUGGAAAGCUUCGGCGGUUUUGGAUGGACUCGCGGCUUAUCAGCUUGUUGGUGGGGUAGUGGCUUACCAAGGCUUUGACGGGUAGCCGGCCGGAGAGGGCGACCGGCCACAUUGGGACUGGGAUACGGCCCAGACUCCUGCGGGAGGCAGGAGGGGGGAAUAUUGCACAAUGGGCGGAAGCCUGAUGCAGCAACGCCGCGUGCGGGAUGACGGCCUUCGGGUUGUAAACCGCUUUCAGCAGGGGCGAAGCUUGUGGUGACGGUACCUGCAGAAGAAGCACCGGCUAACUACGUG